GACGAACGCUGGCGGCGUGCCUAACACAUGCAAGUCGAGCGGGGUCCAUCCAGUGGCAACACUGGGGAAGACCUAGCGGCGAACGGGUGAGUAACACGUGAGAAACCUGCCCUGAAGUCUGGGAUAACCCGAGGAAACUCGAGCUAAUACCGGAUGCCCCCACCGAGUCGCAUGGCUUGGUGAGGAAGAUUCAUCGCUUCAGGAGGGUCUCGCGGCCUAUCAGCUAGUUGGCGGGGUAACGGCCCACCAAGGCAUCGACGGGUAGCUGGUCUGAGAGGACGAUCAGCCACACUGGGACUGAGACACGGCCCAGACUCCUACGGGAGGCAGCAGUGGGGAAUAUUGCGCAAUGGGCGAAAGCCUGACGCAGCAACGCCGCGUGCGGGAUGACGGCC
This 395-nucleotide ribosomal RNA is filed under the name uncultured bacterium. Its description in RNAcentral is "bacterial SSU rRNA". It matches the Rfam family "Bacterial small subunit ribosomal RNA", at positions 28 to 416 of the family's 1533-position model. The record is from RNAcentral.